Danio rerio (zebrafish) is the source of this 877-nucleotide non-coding RNA. Lineage: Eukaryota; Metazoa; Chordata; Actinopteri; Cypriniformes; Danionidae. The record is from RefSeq and is a predicted model, not a curated record.
AAAUCACAUGUAAACAUCCAAUAAACACACAACUGCAACAAUGAUUUGACUGUGUGAAUUUGAAAAGCAAGAUUAGCAUAAGGACUCAGUAACGUUAGUCCUCACAUCUCCUGGAGCCUGGAUGGAUAUUUUACCUGAACUUUUAGGAACAGUGCAAAUGUUGAACGUUAUAAUUUGUGGUUACAUGAACUGGAACAUUGCCCUGCAUUUUAUGACAGAUUUGAACUGCGUGCCUCUGUUUGAAACUCCAAGGUACUUACAAGAAAGGAUAAUUGGAUAAUUUGGAUAUUUUCGACGAGGAUCCGACCGUGUGAAUGUCUUGAGAAGAGAAAGGGGGUAACUUUAGCCUAAUUUAGCAAGCUAACAAUAGCUGGAGGACUCAUUUUCACAUCACACACAGAUACACCUUUUCAUUUGCAACUCCGGUGCUUCUAAAAAUAACAUUUUAAGAUCGAGUGAGACCUUUGUUAUUUUUACGUUAUUGCAGUUGGUUUAUAUAGAAAUUGACUAGAGUUACGAUCAGAUUUUAUGCUUGGUAAUGUUACCUAAAGUGGCAGAGCUUUUAAUCUUUUUGAUGAUGUGAGUAAGGAGUAACUGCUAUUAUAAUGAAAAUUCUUUACAAUUCAUUUUUGACCAAUAGAUGUCUGCCACCACUGCUAAUCUUGAAAAGAUGGGUAACCUGCCUGUGACUCCUCAUUUGAUUCUGCCUGGUUCAGAUGAUACUUUGGGCCAGUGGAUAAAACAAUGGAUGAUCAGCAUGGAAGGCAGAGUAAUCUGUGAGGGUGAGCAUGCACACUGGAAUUCCUUCAAAGAUGCUUUGCUGGCAUAAAUCCAGAGAGGGGAACCAAGGCUGUGAGAGGAAAUGUGACGUCAAAAA